RNAcentral lists this ribosomal RNA (465 nucleotides) under Vreelandella stevensii. RNAcentral describes it as "partial 16S ribosomal RNA". It matches the Rfam family "Bacterial small subunit ribosomal RNA", at positions 338 to 795 of the family's 1533-position model. Lineage: Bacteria; Pseudomonadati; Pseudomonadota; Gammaproteobacteria; Oceanospirillales; Halomonadaceae. The record is from RNAcentral.
CCUACGGGUGGCAGCAGUGGGGAAUAUUGGACAAUGGGCGAAAGCCUGAUCCAGCCAUGCCGCGUGUGUGAAGAAGGCCUUCGGGUUGUAAAGCACUUUCAGUGGGGAAGAAAGCCUUGGGGCUAAUACCCUCGAGGAAGGACAUCACCCACAGAAGAAGCACCGGCUAACUCCGUGCCAGCAGCCGCGGUAAUACGGAGGGUGCGAGCGUUAAUCGGAAUUACUGGGCGUAAAGCGCGCGUAGGCGGUCUGAUAAGCCGGUUGUGAAAGCCCCGGGCUCAACCUGGGAACGGCAUCCGGAACUGUCAGGAUAGAGUGCAGGGGAGGAAGGUAGAAUUCCCGGUGUAGCGGUGAAAUGCGUAGAGAUCGGGAGGAAUACCAGUGGCGAAGGCGGCCUUCUGGACUGACACUGACGCUGAGGUGCGAAAGCGUGGGUAGCAAACAGGAUUAGAUACCCGAGUAGUC